Molecule: ribosomal RNA, 253 nt
Filed under: uncultured bacterium
Lineage: Bacteria
Description: partial 16S ribosomal RNA
Rfam family: Archaeal small subunit ribosomal RNA
Source: RNAcentral
UACCAGCACCCCGAGUGGUCGGGACGAUUAUUGGGCCUAAAGCCUCCGUAGCCGGUCAUGCAAGUCCUCCGUUAAAUCCACCUGCUUAACAGAUGGGCUGCGGAGGAUACUACAAGGCUAGGAGGCAGAAGAGGCAAGCGGUACUCAGUGGGUAGGGGUAAAAUCCUCUGAUCCAUUGAAGACCACCAGUGGCGAAGGCGGCUUGCCAAUACGCGCUCGACGGUGAGGGAUGAAAGCUGGGGGAGCAAACCGG